Molecule: ribosomal RNA, 492 nt
Filed under: uncultured bacterium
Lineage: Bacteria
Description: partial 16S ribosomal RNA
Rfam family: Bacterial small subunit ribosomal RNA
Source: RNAcentral
GAUGAACGCUAGCUACAGGCUUAACACAUGCAAGUCGAGGGGAAACGACAUCGAAAGCUUGCUUUUGAUGGGCGUCGACCGGCGCACGGGUGAGUAACGCGUAUCCAACCUGCCCACCACUUGGGGAUAACCUUGCGAAAGUAAGACUAAUACCCAAUGAUAUCCCACGAAGACAUCUGAAUGGGAUUAAAGAUUUAUCGGUGAUGGAUGGGGAUGCGUCUGAUUAGCUUGUUGGCGGGGUAACGGCCCACCAAGGCAACGAUCAGUAGGGGUUCUGAGAGGAAGGUCCCCCACAUUGGAACUGAGACACGGUCCAAACUCCUACGGGAGGCAGCAGUGAGGAAUAUUGGUCAAUGGGCGAGAGCCUGAACCAGCCAAGUAGCGUGCAGGAAGACGGCCCUAUGGGUUGUAAACUGCUUUUAUAAGGGAAUAAAGUGGGUCACGUGUGACUUUUUGCAUGUACCUUAUGAAUAAGGGCCGGCUAAUUCCGUG